This 315-nucleotide long non-coding RNA is filed under the name Coffea arabica (coffee). RNAcentral describes it as "long non-coding RNA (CARA_LNC001273)". The record is from RNAcentral. Lineage: Eukaryota; Viridiplantae; Streptophyta; Magnoliopsida; Gentianales; Rubiaceae.
AGGAACCCAUCAUUGGAUAAAGAAUAUACAAGAAAACAACAACCGUGAGCCUUUAGUUUCAACCAAAUUAAACACAAUAUUAAUGCAUAUCAGCGGCCUUUAGUUUCAACUUAGCAAAUCUGGUUCCGACUCAUCAUGGCCACUAACAUGCUUAGCAUCACCAUUUGAAAAUUCAUUCACACAUCAAACUUUGUUUCCAAAUUUUGGUUCAAGCAUACAAGAUUGUACAGCCUUUGAACAAGACUACCAAGCAUCAGCUUGACUAUCCAACUCACAGACGUAGAAGCAAACUUUUGAACAAAAUGAAGCAGGAAG